CUGCAGUGCUUUGCGUGCUCUCUCUCUCUCUCUCUCUCUCUCUCUCUGUGUGUGUGUGUGUGUGAGAGAGAGAGAGAGAGAGAGAUUGUGGCAUGCAAGAAUAAAAUG
Podarcis lilfordi (Lilford's wall lizard) is the source of this 108-nucleotide non-coding RNA. The record is from the annotation of a GenBank genome assembly. Lineage: Eukaryota; Metazoa; Chordata; Lepidosauria; Squamata; Lacertidae.